UACGUAGGGUGCGAGCGUUGUCCGGAAUUAUUGGGCGUAAAGAGCUCGUAGGCGGUGUGUCGCGUCGGUCGUGAAAACUUGGGGCUUAACUCUGAGCUUGCGGUCGAUACGGGCAUCACUGGAGUUCGGCAGGGGAGACUGGAAUUCCUGGUGUAGCGGUGAAAUGCGCAGAUAUCAGGAAGAACACCCGUGGCGAAGGCGGCUCUCUGGGACGGUACUGACGCUGAGACGCGAAAGCGUGGGGAGCGAACAGG
RNAcentral lists this ribosomal RNA (254 nucleotides) under uncultured bacterium. RNAcentral's name for it is "partial 16S ribosomal RNA". It matches the Rfam family "Bacterial small subunit ribosomal RNA", at positions 524 to 776 of the family's 1533-position model. The record is from RNAcentral.